GUUCUGGGCGGGGGAGAGAAAAUCGGCAGCCGGCUCCUGCAGCAGGGGUGCGGCAUGGGCACCAGUGGCCGCAGCUGCGUAGUGGGUCGCCGAGGACCCACACACAAUGGCUGCCAGAUAACGGCGGAGGGCAACGACCUCCUGAUAAUGGUGCCAGUUCAAGCAGCAGUAUCAUCAUGUGGAGGAAGAUAACAAAGUAACCAUCACAUCUACAAAACCAGAUUGUGUGUUGCAUUGAAGACUCAAAUCCCACAGGAGGAAUUGCUGUCAACAAUAUGAUUUUCUGAAAUAGUGAAGAACUCAUGAUAAAAUGCCCAAAGACACAAAAUGCAGUCUUCCCUCAAUUUACAUCGUUGCAUUUCUGGAAAAUUCAGCAUACAUGGAAACCAUGCAAAAGAUGGUGACACAGAGGUUCAAAGAGAACUUCUUUCUCCAAGAUCACGCAGGGUGGGAGUGGCUGAACUGGAAUUCAGACCCCAGUCUUCCUUCUCAUCAAAAGGAUGCAGAUACAAGAGGCUCUUUCUCUGUCUUCUUUAUCUUUCUUAGCAUCUGGUUUUAUCCCCCUCCCAGUGUGGAUGGCAGGGAGAGAAAGGAGAAAAAAGCUGGCAGUGAAUAGAAGCCGGCUGCUGAAGGGAAAGAACUCUAUCUUUUCUAGCGCAGAACAAAAGCUCCUGUUUUUUUUUGUUGUUUUUUUUUUUUUUAAAGAGCAACCUGUUUUCUUCAGAUCAUCCCGGCCCAGGGCCAGAAUGAGGCUUCAUUCAUUUGUUCGGAACUCUGCUCCCCACAGUGUGGAUCUUUAUUGUUUCUAGACAGACACAUCGCAUAGCACUUGGUUUUCUGUUCAGGUUGAAUUUUCAGAGUAAGUUCUUAUCUGGACCAUGGUGGAGAGUCCAGGCUCCCAGAAGUACAUUUCUUAUUUGAUACAUGAGACUCCCCCCUCCCAACGGGAUACCUGGAAAAAUGAGCCUGGUUCAUCGGUCUAGACAUAUCAUCUUCCUUAAUCAGUCUUCAGAGAGAUCUCCCUGGUGACUUCAUUGUAAUGGUUUCAAUAACAAGAGGACCUGAACUCAGCGCAGCCGUCCUAAGAGCAAGAAGGACCCUGAGGCCUGAGUAUACUUGUCGGAACUGUUCGGGGUUCCUCAAAACCUGACGCAGACCAGCCUCAGUGAAAAAAAGAAAGAUGGAAACAUUCAAGGACGACUGCUCAGGUUGGUGGAGCAUAACCACCACCCUGAGAAUGUCAGCCACACCUUGUGACUUCCUUCCAGGAGGACAGUAUGGAAGGAGCUGGAAAGUAACCACACGGUGGAGGGACUUGGCAACAGGGGUGGCCAGGGUGAGCACUGAGAAGGAAAAUGCCCUUGACAUUCAGAGGCUCGUCUGGCUCCCACAGCUAGACCGCGUUAGUCUCUGACAAGACGCCACGUCACAGAAAAUCAAACCCAAAGCUCUCCUGAGACCAUGAUAAGAUGAGACAAAGCAAGGCCACUUUAUACUGUUGUCUAAGUGCAGACAGAACCGAGGUCGCUAUGCCCCCCACAGAAUAGCGAACACUCCCCCCUCAGCCCCCAGGAGUGACUGCCCGUCUUUCCCAGGAUAGCUUUCCCCUGUGCUGGCCUCGCCUGCCCACCAUAAGAUUUAGAGAACUGCAUCUGUCCAUGUGUAGCUAGAUAAAUAUAGAUAAGGGUCAACACGCCUCCGGCUAGAGAUUUACUGUGUCCAUCUUAGGAAGAGGAGAAGAAAGACCAUAAAAAGAAAUAGCUGGUUCAAAAUCCAAAGUCUGAUUUUUAUGGAUGUGAGGUGUCCGGGCUGCUGCCGGAUCAGCACGGUUUGCAGCUAUGCUCGGACAGCUAGAGCUUUGUGCAAGAUUUCAACAGUGCUGGGCAGACCUACGGGAGGACGAGCCCAGCUCCACCAGGAAUGUGCCCUUAGAGGGAAGCAGCACUGGCCAUCACACACCUUCCUGACUGGGUGUUUUGUCACCGAGAGGUGUAUCCAUUCAGUAAUUCUAGUUAAUCUAACCAGAUCAUGUGAUUAUGUUUUAUUUUGUACGGUAUACAUCUGUGGUCUCCUCUUUGGUAUCAGUUGGUCACAAGAAUGUGAUUACUGGAAGGGGUGGGUAGGGGGGACUUGUGCUAGUCUCCUCUUCCUAUAGAUAAGAUUUAUUGAGAUACCAAUCAUAAAACUGCCCCGAUUUCUGACAGCAAUCGAAAGGAAACCCCCAAUUCCUUAGACCCGCCUCCAAAUCGCCCAACCAAAGCCCAAAGCCUAUCAUAGGUUGUUUCUAACACCCUCAUGGUGUGUGUUCUCCCUCACCACAGGGGGUGAUGGGCACAACUCGUUUAACUCCAGGUGUGUUCUUGGUGGUCUCUGAUGAAGGACAUUCACAACCUUGUCAGUGAUAAAUCAUGCACCCUUGAUAUCAUGCCAUGAGAAUGGUGCUUCACCUACCUCUGUGGUCUUCCUCCCAAAGCCCAUUACCCCAGUCCAACCACAAGAAAAGGCUCAGACAGACCAACACCGAGGGACAUAUUACAAAAUUCCUGACCAGUACUCCUCAACACUCCCGAGGCCAGUAAAAACAAGGGGGGUCUGGGAAAGUGUCACAGCCCAGAGAGGUCUAAGGAGACCUGAAGACUAAUGUAAUGUGGCAUCCCAGAUGAGAUCCUGGAACAGAGAAGGGACAUUAGGGGCAAACUAAUGAAAUGGAAAAGAGAAGUCAACAACAACAGUGACAAACAUUUUAAGAGGUAGAGUUGGCUUUAGGGCACAAUUAAAUGAUGUUGAUGAUGUUAUGUCUCUCCAUCUCCUAUUUCUCUGUGUUGGCUGGUCCUCAGCAGAUUUGUCCUACAUGGAGCAAUGAGGCCACUGCAGCGCCGGCCCAUGGGGUCCUAUGGGCUUGAGAACCCAGGGAGUAGGUUCUCCAGUUGACCCAUCCUCUCCUUGUGCUGUGAGCGGCCAGCUGGUUCAUAUGCUGCUUCCUGGACUAGGAUUCAGAGGUCAGCUCCACUCAAACCCCAUAGACCCAACAAGAUUAUUAGUGAUUGAGGGAGAGCUGGUUUCCCAGCAAAAGGGAUAUUUACAGGCAAAUACAUGUACCCCAUAGACUAACCCUACCUUCUGACUCAGCAAGAAUGCUUUGAGAGGCAUCUCUCACACCCAACCCCUAGCCCACUGAGGCAAGGGGCAGGAAGGGCAAUGGCCUUGGAAAAGCCACAUCCGCAUCACCCCUGCCCCCAUUCCCUUGUUUGUGAAAUGGGAGUAUAUCUAGCCACACGGGACCAAUGGGAAGAUUGAAUGAGAUCUCAUUUUUCUGAGUGCCUAGGACACAGUAAUGCUCGGUGAGUGCUAGUUAAUCUGAGCCUUUCUUAUUCAAAGAAUUAACACGAGCAAUUCUACCUCUGUAUUCGUCAAGCAGUUAUCAUCAGGAGACCAUGCUAGUGCAUUUAUAGAACUGCAUUUCUGCCACGAGUAAUAAUGAAGAAUCUUUUAUGCUAUUAACCUGUGUAAAUUUUAGAUUUUUUUAAAAUGGGAAGUCAUAUAGGUCACUCUGUUGUACCUGUAGCUAAUUGCAGCAUUAGCUAUCAAUUUCUCAUUGUUGGCUAAUUUAUCUUCAAAGACUCAAGAAUGCAAUUUGAGUAAUUACUACCUGUAUGCCAUAUUUCAUUUAUGGCAUCUAUGAGUCAUGAAUCUUCUUUCUCUAGCUGAAAACAUUGAAUGCAGUUAAUUCAAGAGGUCUGCCACAUAUGUUGUAGAACCAAACUUAAUGCAAAUUACAUAAAUGUGUGUUGUAUUUUAUGACUGCGUCCUGGAGUUCUCACAUGGAAUAUGGCGUCUCCUAGUAACCCUGGUGGAGGGGGGUGGGGAAGGAAGAGAGAACUGUGUUCUUCGUUCUUCACAUUAAUGAAGGUUUCAUUAAUUUUUUUCUUAAACUGGAGCUAGAAACCCUUGAAAUAUCUUUGCAAUGCAUUUCUCAAUGUUUUU
Long non-coding RNA from Zalophus californianus (California sea lion), 3984 nucleotides. RefSeq lists it as uncharacterized. The record is from RefSeq and is a predicted model, not a curated record. NCBI's taxonomy places the organism in Eukaryota, Metazoa, Chordata, Mammalia, Carnivora, Otariidae. The transcript is spliced from 5 exons.